UUGCAUGUUAUGAGUCUAUAAAACACAUUAGGUUGGCGAUAAAAAUUAGAAUCGAAAUUAAAAUAGAUAAUAGUGAAAAUCAAAAUAAUUUAUUUCUCUAUGUAUUUGGUUCGUGAUCGAUAUCAGAAUCAAAAUAGAAAUAAAAUUUGAAUACAAAAUAAAAAUAAAAGUUAAAUUUUGAAAGAUUGAAAUAUUUGUAUUCUUCAAUAUAAUCAAAAUAGAAACGAAACUUUUCCC
Molecule: long non-coding RNA, 237 nt
Filed under: Elaeis guineensis (African oil palm)
Lineage: Eukaryota; Viridiplantae; Streptophyta; Magnoliopsida; Arecales; Arecaceae
Description: long non-coding RNA (EGUI_LNC019704)
Source: RNAcentral